RNAcentral lists this ribosomal RNA (468 nucleotides) under uncultured bacterium. RNAcentral describes it as "partial 16S ribosomal RNA". It matches the Rfam family "Bacterial small subunit ribosomal RNA", at positions 28 to 507 of the family's 1533-position model. The record is from RNAcentral.
GACGAACGCUGGCGGCGUGCUUAACACAUGCAAGUCGAACGGAAAGGCCCUGCUUUUGUGGGGUGCUCGAGUGGCGAACGGGUGAGUAACACGUGAGUAACCUGCCCUGGACUUUGGGAUAACUUCAGGAAACUGGGGCUAAUACCGGAUAGGAGCUCCUGCUGCAUGGUGGGGGUUGGAAAGUUUCGGCGGUUGGGGAUGGACUCGCGGUUUAUCAGCUUGUUGGUGGGGUAGUGGCUUACCAAGGCUUUGACGGGUAGCCGGCCUGAGAGGGUGACCGGCCACAUUGGGACUGAGAUACGGCCCAGACUCCUACGGGAGGCAGCAGUGGGGAAUAUUGCACAAUGGGCGGAAGCCUGAUGCAGCAACGCCGCGUGCGGGAUGACGGCCUUCGGGUUGUAAACCGCUUUCGCCUGUGACGAAGCGUGAGUGACGGUAAUGGGUAAAGAAGCACCGGCUAACUACGUG